UACGAAGGGGGCUAGCGUUGUUCGGAAUUACUGGGCGUAAAGCGCGUGUAGGCGGGUCUUUAAGUCAGGGGUGAAAUGCCAAGGCUCAACCUUGGAACUGCCUUUGAUACUGGAGACCUUGAGUCCGGGAGAGGUGAGUGGAAUUGCGAGUGUAGAGGUGAAAUUCGUAGAUAUUCGGAAGAACACCAGUGGCGAAGGCGGCUCACUGGCCCGGUACUGACGCUGAGGUGCGAAAGCGUGGGGAGCAAACAGG
This 253-nucleotide ribosomal RNA is filed under the name uncultured bacterium. Its description in RNAcentral is "partial 16S ribosomal RNA". It matches the Rfam family "Bacterial small subunit ribosomal RNA", at positions 524 to 776 of the family's 1533-position model. The record is from RNAcentral.